Long non-coding RNA from Equus asinus (donkey), 1451 nucleotides. NCBI's taxonomy places the organism in Eukaryota, Metazoa, Chordata, Mammalia, Perissodactyla, Equidae. The record is from Ensembl.
GGCAGGAUGAGAAAUGCUGGUGUCCUGCCCCUCCUGGGAGAUGGCCCUCUGACGGGGAGUUAGGGGAGGGGGGAACCCUGUGGUCUUGGCUGCAUGUGUCUACAGUGGAGUUUCCUUCUCUAUGAGGCAUCUUCAAAACUCAUGGGCUUUGUUGAACCUAGAGGAGGCUGUCAGCAGGGCCUGCAGUCUUCACCACCUCCCUGCCUGCAUGGUGGGGCCUCAGGCACCUUCCUCUCUCAGCAGCUGCACUGAAAAGUCCCUGUAGUGUUUUAACCUUCAAUAGUUACAAAUGGUGACAGGAAAGCUUUGGCAACUCCCAUUGUCAUCCAAUCCCCUGAAGACCGUCCUCAUCACUGUUCCCAUGCUGACCGCCUCCUGCUGUUCUGAUGGAUUCUGAGCAGCUCACAGGGAGUGGGACCAGCUCCAGCAUCAGUUGUUACCGCUUUCUAGAGAGCUCCUCCUGGGAGGUGCCUGGGUGUGUCCAGGAGCAGAGGAAGAAAGGGUCCUGAAGGGCUGGAUGGCAACAUCACGUUGAGAGACUAGGUGACCUGGUGCUGUCCCUUUACACUCUCUUCACAUUUUAUUCCAGAAACAGGCUGAACUGUUUUUAUUUUUAAAUUAGUCUAAAGCUUCAAAUCCAAUAGAAUAUUUAAAAAAUAAUUUCAAUGUUUUCCUUUAGUAUACAUUUAGAUCCUCAAAUUCAUAUUUUAAAAUUGGUAUUAUAUAGAAUGUUUUGUAACUACCAUUUCCACUUAAUAUAAAAAUUUAAUGUAUUAAAAUAAUACUUUACAGGUAUUUAAAAUUAGCACAAUAUUCUUUUGGCAUUUUAAUUUUAUUGUUGGAAAUUUGUGGUUCUUAUUUCUCUUAUGUUUAGUAGUAUUGAGAUUCAAACUGAAGUUUUGUGUAUAAUCAUGAUUAUUUCUUUAGGAUACACUCUGAAAGUGAAAUUACACACACUAAAGAUAUAGACACUUUAAAGCUAUGAUACCUAGUGCCAACAUCCCUGCAAAAUUUUUACCAAUUUCUCCCUCUGAUGCUGUGUGAGAAUUAUGCCUCUUUCUCACAUGAUCAUCAAUACUACAAAUUAUCAGUUUUAACCUUUGCUAAUUGGAUAUGAGAACAAUUUCAUAGAAUUUAAAUUUGUAUUUCCACUAUUCCUUACAUACAUUCCUUAGUGCAUCAUGUUCCCGUCUCUGUUCUCGGCUCUGGAGGCACAGCAGUGGAUAAGGGAGAUAUUCUCAAGGGGAGACAUAUUGUGGGGAAGUAGGUGGUCUGCCAUCAUGUGUUCCUCACAUUUCCAUGGAGGGGAGGACCUCCCUACCCCGGAUGAAGCACUUUGGGAUACACCCGCCCUCUCUGUCCUCUAGUUGACAUGAUUUGUGAAACAGGAAAAAGGCACUGAGGAUGGCCCUCCUCUGCUCCUCUGUUUGGUCAGACACAUUUCCAUGCUU